GGUGGGUAUGUUAAUAGCAUACUCAUUUGACGUUAGCUGCAGAAGAAGCACCGGCUAACUCCGUGCCAGCAGCCGCGGUAAUACGGAGGGUGCGAGCGUUAAUCGGAAUUACUGGGCGUAAAGCGCAUGCAGGUGGUUUGUUAAGUCAGAUGUGAAAGCCCGGGGCUCAACCUCGGAAUUGCAUUUGAAACUGGCAAACUAGAGUACUGUAGAGGGGGUAGAAUUUCAGGUGUAGCGGUGAAAUGCGUAGAGAUCUGAAGGAAUACCGGUGGCGAAGGCGGCCCCCUGGACAGAUACUGACACUCAGAUGCGAAAGCGUGGGGAGCAAACAGGAUUAGAUACCCUGGUAG
Molecule: ribosomal RNA, 350 nt
Filed under: uncultured bacterium
Lineage: Bacteria
Description: bacterial SSU rRNA
Rfam family: Bacterial small subunit ribosomal RNA
Source: RNAcentral